AUUAAAGGGCCGCGGUAUUUUAACCGUGCAAAGGUAGCAUAAUCAUUAGGUUUUUAAUUAGAAUCUUGUAUGAAUGGUUCGACAAAAGAAAUACUGUCUUUAUGUUAAAAUUUGAAUUUAACUUUUAAGUGAAAAGGCUUAAAUAUAUUAAAGGGACGAUAAGACCCUAUAAAACUUUACAUUGUAAUUUUAUUUAAUUAAAUUUAUAAGAUAAAAAUUUGAUUUAAUUAUAUGUUAUGUUGGGGAGACAGAAGUAAAAAUAAAUUUUAACUGCUUUAUGUUAAAACAUAUAUUUAUGAAAUAUUAAAUGAUCCUUUAUAAAGAUUAAAAGAUUAAGUUACUUUAGGGAUAACAGCGUUAUUUUUUUUGAGAGUUCCUAUCGAAAAGAAAGUUUGCGACCUCGAUGUUGAAUUAAAAUAUCUUUAUAGUGCAGAAGCUAUAAAAGAAGGUCUGUUCGACCUUUAAAUUUUUACAUGAUUUGAGUUCA
This 487-nucleotide ribosomal RNA is filed under the name Potamon persicum. Its description in RNAcentral is "partial large subunit ribosomal RNA". It matches the Rfam family "Bacterial large subunit ribosomal RNA", at positions 1922 to 2613 of the family's 2925-position model. The record is from RNAcentral. Lineage: Eukaryota; Metazoa; Arthropoda; Malacostraca; Decapoda; Potamidae.